GACAGAGGGGGCAAGCGUUGCUCGGAAUCACUGGGCGUAAAGGGCGCGUAGGCGGGAUGGCAAGUCAGUCGUGAAAUCUCUCGGCUCAACCGAGAAACGUCGGCUGAUACUGCCGUUCUUGAGGGAUGCAGAGGAGACUGGAAUUCCCGGUGUAGCGGUGGAAUGUGUAGAGAUCGGGAGGAACACCGGUGGCGAAGGCGGGUCUCUGGGCAUCUCCUGACGCUGAGGCGCGAAAGCGUGGGGAGCAAACGGG
RNAcentral lists this ribosomal RNA (253 nucleotides) under uncultured bacterium. RNAcentral describes it as "partial 16S ribosomal RNA". It matches the Rfam family "Bacterial small subunit ribosomal RNA", at positions 524 to 776 of the family's 1533-position model. The record is from RNAcentral.